Felis catus (domestic cat) is the source of this 3845-nucleotide long non-coding RNA. RefSeq lists it as uncharacterized. The transcript is spliced from 3 exons. The record is from RefSeq and is a predicted model, not a curated record. NCBI's taxonomy places the organism in Eukaryota, Metazoa, Chordata, Mammalia, Carnivora, Felidae.
CUCUCUCUCUCUCUCUCUCUCUCUCUCAAAAAUAAAUAAACAUUAAAAAUUUUUUUCUUUUAAUUUUUUUCAGAUUAAUUACCCUGAAUUCUCACAAAUAAAGGCAUGAAGAUUAAAGAGAUUACAGGAUUCUAAUGAUAACCCCUGUUCAGAGGCCACGGAAGAUGGCAGAGGGCAGGUCCUGGUGCUCCAUGGCCCAGGCAUCUCCCAGGGCACCUGGCAGCCAUUGUGGCCAAACAGGUACCACUGGGCCAGGAGGUAAUGGUCACUUGCUGUGAGAGCAUCAACGUAUCGGGCAAUUUCCACAGAAACAAGUUGAAGUACCUGGUCUCUUUCUGCAAGAGAAUGAUCGCCAGCCCAUCCUUUGGCCGCUACCACUUCUUUGCCUCCAGUUAUUCUUUAUGAAGGUGCGAGGCAGACUGUCUCCAAUACCAAGGGAGGCCAGGCUGCCCUAAGCACCUCAAGGUGUUCAAUGGGCCCCACUGCCCUACAACAAGAAGAAGCAGAGGGUCAGUUCCUGCUUCCCUCAAGGUUGUACAUAGGUAGCCUGCAGGAAAGUUUGCCUGAACCGGGCACCUGGCUCUCAAGGCUGGCUGGAAGAACCAGGCGAUGACAGCCACCCCGAAGAAGAGGAAGAAGGCCACAGUCCAUUAUCUGAAGGAAGAGCAGCUCACAAGACUAAUGAAACAGGCCUGAAAGAAGGUUGAGAAGAAAACUGACAAAUAGACAGAGGUCCUCAAGACUCUCAGACUCUGGUCUGAGUCUAAUAAAGACUGUUCAUUAAGACUGUUCAUUAAAAAAAAUCCAUAAUUUACACAUAUUAUUUUUAUGAUUAGAUGAUGAAAUGCUAUUUUGUACAUUAAUAAAUUUAACUUGGGGCAUGCCUUGCUGGCUCAGUUGGUAGAGCAUGCAACUCUUGAUCUUGGGGUUCUAAGUUUGAGCCCCAUGUUGAAUGUGAGAUUACUUUAAAAAAAUCUUUAAAAAAAUUUAAUUUUUAAGACUACGACUGUAACAUGCAGGGUCCUCUGAAAAGCAGGGUUCAGGAUGGGAACUCCUCUUACUACAAUUAAAGAGUAUCCUGACUUGGAGACAUUUCCUAGGGAAGUGACAACAUGAAGGCUUAGGGCUGGGAAUAGGCAGAAUUUUCCUUUUAGCUUCGUUUUAAUGUAUGCCUUUCUUUUGUGUGUCCAUGACAAAUCAGACACCUCCAUUCCCCAGCAAAUUUCUUUUUUAAAAAAAUAUUUAUUUAUUAAUUUAUUUAGAGAGAGAGAGCAUGGGAGCAGGGGAGGGGCAGAGAGAGAGAAUCCCGAGCAGGCUCCAUGCUGUCAGCACAGAGCCCGAUGCAGAACUUGAUCUCAGGAACCGUGAGAUUGUGACCUGAGCUGAUAUCAAGAGUUGGACGCUUAACUGACAAGCCACCCAGACGCCCAGCAAAUGUCUUCAUGUGUAGAUUUUUUUAGACAAAAGCCCUUUUCUAUCUUGUGUUCCCUCUUGGGACCCCAUUUUCACCUGUUGAAAACAUACCUGUCUUUUAGGGUCUUGCUUGAAGGCCUUCUUAAUGAUACCUUUCCUAAUCUUGGAGACCGAAGCCCCUUUUUUGAGGCCCCCAUAGGUCUUUGUUUAAGCCAGACAAAUGCUUCUUGAAAACUAGGUUGGUGUAUAUGCCUUCCAGUCCUUCCUACCUCUUUGCAGAGGCUACAAAUAUAGUGUGUGGUUUAAGGAGACCAUGGAUUCUCCUUGCCUAGUAUCUCGCACCCUAGAGAGGUCCUGGGAGCCAGACUGAGGUGACUUCAGCCUCAUUAUUCCUGGGGGAAGUGGAGAGUUGGUUUCCAGAAAGCCAAUGUUUAUUUAUUUUUGAGAGAUAGAGAGAUGGAGCGUGAGCGGGAAAUGGGCAGAGAGAAACAGAAUCCAAACUAGGUUCCAGGCUCUGAGCUGUUAGCAUGGAGCCCGAUGCAGGACUCCAACCCAGGAACCACGAGAUCAUGACCUGAGCCAAAGUUGGAUGCUCAACCCACUGAACCACCCAAGCGCCCCAGAAGUCAUCACAUUCUAAAAGACCAGAGGAUCUUUCUACUCCUUUACCAGAGGGUACACACAAUGGACUGCAUCUGAAAAGGAACCACUGACUCCUCUCCAGCUCGGUCUUUGGGAUUUGGAUGCGGUUGACCCCACACUCAGGGUGAGUCCUGGUGGCUCCAGGCUAACUAUUGGCCCUAUUAUCCGGUAAGGUGGUGUGGUUGGUUUAGCUAAGGGUACUUGUCCCCAGGUGUAAACAGGCUCAAGGCUUUUGUGUCACUCUUGGGGAAGAGAAGCUUUCUCUGUCCACUGAGUUUGAAGCUGAGAGGAUUCAAGAACUUCUAUGGCAAGAACCACGUUAUGAUUGUCAGGGAGAAACUGAGGAGCAAGCAGAGCCAAGAGGACAAACCGGAUUCCAGGAGCACUGUUUCAGUUUGGUGAUGACCUUGGGUCAGAUCUGUCUUUGAAUAUUUUAGGUUAUGGGAGCCAAUAAAUUCCAGUUUUGAUUUCAACAUUUUGGAUAAUUUAAAGUCCCUCGAACAAAAAGUCUCUUAAACAGUACACAGCAGGGCUAUGAGGGAGAGGGACCUGGGAAAGAAGAACUUUAACAGCAGCUGGUGAGUUGGUAAGUUAUCCUGUUUGAGCAGGUGCAGUGGGUGCAACUUAGAUGAUGUGUGACAACCUCACAUAACAUGUGAGCAUCUACGAUUUCUGGCCUGUCAGCCCAACACUGUGGCUGAUAUUGGCAAAUCGAGUUUAAGAAGCUACCAUGAUGAGAAAGAAUAAUUUGAUUUAAAAAUUAUCUGUGAGUGCGCAAGGUUGAUUCCAAAAACCUGCCAGGGAAAAUCAAAGCAUAAGAAAUCUUUUGAACUGGAUAAUACAUGCUUUCUUUUCCAUUACCCACUUUGGCACAGAUUCAAAGUUUCUCACUCAUAUCCAUUUUAAAGCAACUGUGUGAGCAAGUCAGUACAAUGUGAGGUGUCUCAGAAUCCUGGAGACAGUUUGGGAGACAGUCACCUGGGGAUAUAUCGUCUAGGAACCACUGAGCCCUUGAAUGAACAGGAAAUUAGACAUGUCGGGAGAUGAGUAAUCUGAAGCUUUUCCACAUUGGCCUGCUCCAAGGAUGUGCAGCUGAGGUGAAUAUUAACACCCACAGUGACUGACUCCACUCCUUCCUUCCUUCCCCAAAUAUGUAGAACACAUACUAGGUACCAGGAGUUGCCAGAUACAAGGAUAGCUGGUUAACAAAGCACUUGCCAUGCCCUUGAGCAACUUAUCGUCCAGUGAGAAAGACAGACACGUGAGUGCUAAAAGUAAUUUACAGGGGGACUUCCAGAAGUAGAAAUGUAAACUUAGUAUUUGUGUGUUUCACUGAGUGUAAAUUAUAUCUCAAUUUUUUUAGGUGAGGGGGAAAAAAAGAGGAAUCACUUGAAAGCACUGGCAAUCCAGGCAGGGAGUUGUCAGACCACCAAUAUAGAAAUGAUUUGUGACAGAUAUAAGGCAGAUGUGAUCAGAUUAAUAAAAAUGUGAAAGAGCCAAUGUACCUACACCCCCAUAAAGGUAGAAAGAGAGGAUCUCCAAAAAAGUGUACUUUCUGUUUAAAACUCCAGAAUAGCUCCAAGUGCAGAGACAGCAGGGACCGGGAGAAGGAACUGGUAUGACGAUGGUAACUAAUUCAUGAGCUGUAAACAUCCGUGCUUUGAAGUGGCAAGUUUAAAAUUUUUUCCUCAAGUGAAAAUUUGGAGUAAAGCUUAUUGCUUACCAAAUAAGAGGAGAGUCAUGAGGGGCGGCUGGGUGGUUCAGUCAGGUAAGCGUGUGACUGUGGCUCA